Molecule: ribosomal RNA, 460 nt
Filed under: uncultured bacterium
Lineage: Bacteria
Description: partial 16S ribosomal RNA
Rfam family: Bacterial small subunit ribosomal RNA
Source: RNAcentral
CCUACGGGAGGCAGCAGUGAGGAAUAUUGGUCAAUGGGAGGAAUCCUGAACCAGCCAUGCCGCGUGCAGGACGACGGCUCUACGAGUUGUAAACUGCUUUUGUACGGGGGUAAAACGCUCUACGAGUAGGGCAUUGAAAGUACGGUACGAAUAAGGAUCGGCUAACUCCAUGCCAGCAGCCGCGGUAAUACGGAGGGUCCGAGCGUUAUCCGGAUUUAAUGGGUUUAAAGGGUGCGUAGGUUGUGUUAUAAGUCAGCGGUGAAAUACCGAGGCUCAACACCGGUACUGCCGCUGAGACUGUAGGACUAGAGAUCGGGUGAAGCAGGCGGAAUGUGUGGUGUAGCGGUGAAAUGCAUAGAUAUUACGCAGAACACCGAUUGCGAAGGCAGCUUACUGGGCCGGAUCUGACGCUGAUGCACGAAAGCGUGGGGAUCGAACAGGAUUAGAUACCCUAGUAGUC